AGCAGCCGCGGUAAUUCCAGCUCCAAUAGCGUAUAUUAAAGUUGUUGCAGUUAAAAGCUCGUAGUUGAAUUUCGGGAUCAGUUGGUCGGUCGUGCCUCGGUACGUACUGGUCAAAUUGAUUCCUACCUUCUGACGAACCACGAUGUCAUUAAUUUGGUGUCGCGGGAAAUCAGGACUGUUACUUCGAAAAAAUUAGAGUGUUUAAAGCAGGCUCGCGCUUGAAUACAUUAGCAUGGAAUAAUGAAAUAGGACGUUUGAUUCUAUUUUGUUGGUUUCUAGGAUCGACGUAAUGAUUAAUAGGGAUAGUUGGGGGCAUUAGUAUUCAAUUGUCAGAGGUGAAAUUCUUGGAUUUAUUGAAGACUAACUACUGCGAAAGCAUUUGCCAAGGAUGUUUUCAUUAAUCAAGAACGAAAGUUAGGGAUCGAAGACGAUCAGAUACCGUCGUAGUCUUAACCAUAAACUAUGCCGAC
This 470-nucleotide unclassified non-coding RNA is filed under the name uncultured Glomus. Its description in RNAcentral is "SSU rRNA". It matches the Rfam family "Eukaryotic small subunit ribosomal RNA", at positions 569 to 1046 of the family's 1831-position model. Lineage: Eukaryota; Fungi; Glomeromycota; Glomeromycetes; Glomerales; Glomeraceae. The record is from RNAcentral.